AGCCAUGUGGCCGAGGGGCGAGGCAAGGGUCUGCAAAACCUUUUUACGGCGGUUCGAAUCCGUCCAUGGCGU
Molecule: transfer RNA, 72 nt
Filed under: Cnuella takakiae
Lineage: Bacteria; Pseudomonadati; Bacteroidota; Chitinophagia; Chitinophagales; Chitinophagaceae
Rfam family: tRNA
About the family: Transfer RNA (tRNA) molecules are approximately 80 nucleotides in length. Their secondary structure includes four short double-helical elements and three loops (D, anti-codon, and T loops).
Source: Rfam by way of RNAcentral